This 305-nucleotide unclassified non-coding RNA is filed under the name plant metagenome. RNAcentral describes it as "partial contains 5.8S ribosomal RNA, internal transcribed spacer 2, and large subunit ribosomal RNA". The stretch from base 1 to 105 matches the Rfam family "5.8S ribosomal RNA", at positions 50 to 154 of the family's 154-position model. The record is from RNAcentral.
GAAAUGCGAUAAGUAAUGUGAAUUGCAGAAUUCAGUGAAUCAUCGAAUCUUUGAACGCACAUUGCGCCCGCCAGUAUUCUGGCGGGCAUGCCUGUUCGAGCGUCAUUUCAACCAUCAAGCCCCCGGCUUGUGUUGGGGACCUGCGGCUGCCCGCAGGCCCAGAAAAACAGUGGCGGGCUCGCUGUCACACCGAGCGUAGUAGCAUACAUUCUCGCUCAGGGCGUGCUGCGGGUUCCGGCCGUUAAACGACCUUCAUAACCCAAGGUUGACCUCGGAUCAGGUAGGAAGACCCGCUGAACUUAAGC